UGGAGAUGAUCCACUUUGAUUCUGGCACCUUCUUCAAAGACAUGAUCCACGCCCAAUUUGCAGCCGGGCUCUGCGGAUGCUGAGGCAGCUCUGGGCUUUGCCAGGGCUUUGCUGGGCUCAGCCCUGGGCACAGCUGGGCCUGCUCUGCCCUCACAUGGCUCUGACAGCUUUGCAUCAGACGAGCCCGUUCUGAGCACACUGCCUGAGCUUUCUGCUUUUGCAGAAGUGCCACGAGUGGGCAAAACCUGGCGAGUGGGCCGUGUUGCUAAGGCAGUGCAGUCUGGAGCUGAUGGAUGGAGAAUUGCCCUUCUGCCCUUCCAAAGGAGAGAAAAAAGCUGUAAGUGGGACUUUCCAUCUUGAGAAAUCACUGACAAUUUCAAAGGAAAUGUGCACCUCAUUUGAAGGGUGAGAAGGAAGGGCAUCUUCUAAAGGAUUUGGGAUUUGACAGAGUUUAGAUUCCCAGUCCUGCUUGGAGCUGGCAGGGCCCAAAGCAAUUUCCUCUUGCUUCGAACCACAAUUUAAAAGAACAAUAUUGGAAAUAAACCCCAAAAUUGUUUUUAAAAGGCUGCUUUG
Molecule: long non-coding RNA, 573 nt
Organism: Catharus ustulatus (Swainson's thrush)
Lineage: Eukaryota; Metazoa; Chordata; Aves; Passeriformes; Turdidae
Exons: 3
Source: RefSeq, a predicted model, not a curated record